GAUGAACGCUGGCGGCGUGCCUAAUACAUGCAAGUCGAGCGAACAGACGAGGAGCUUGCUCCUCUGACGUUAGCGGCGGACGGGUGAGUAACACGUGGAUAACCUACCUAUAAGACUGGGAUAACUUCGGGAAACCGGAGCUAAUACCGGAUAAUAUAUUGAACCGCAUGGUUCAAUAGUGAAAGACGGUUUUGCUGUCACUUAUAGAUGGAUCCGCGCCGCAUUAGCUAGUUGGUAAGGUAACGGCUUACCAAGGCAACGAUGAGUAGCCGACCUGAGAGGGUGAUCGGCCACACUGGAACUUAGACACGGUCCAGACUCCUAAGGGAGGCAGCAGUAGGGAAUCAUCCGCAAUGGGCGAAAGCCUGACGGAGCAACGCCGCGUGAGUGAUGAAGUUCUUCGGAUCGUAAAACUCUGUUAUUAGGGAAGAACAAAUGUGUAAGUAACUAUGCACGUCUUGACGGUACCUAAUCAGAAAGCCACGGCUAACUACGUG
RNAcentral lists this ribosomal RNA (497 nucleotides) under uncultured bacterium. RNAcentral describes it as "partial 16S ribosomal RNA". It matches the Rfam family "Bacterial small subunit ribosomal RNA", at positions 28 to 507 of the family's 1533-position model. The record is from RNAcentral.